GCGCCCUUCGUCUAGCGGUCCAGGACACCGCCCUUUCACGGCGGUAACACGGGUUCGAGUCCCGUAGGGCGCGCCA
Molecule: transfer RNA, 76 nt
Filed under: Hyphomicrobiales bacterium
Lineage: Bacteria; Pseudomonadati; Pseudomonadota; Alphaproteobacteria; Hyphomicrobiales
Also listed under: 4 other names
Description: tRNA-Glu
Rfam family: tRNA
About the family: Transfer RNA (tRNA) molecules are approximately 80 nucleotides in length. Their secondary structure includes four short double-helical elements and three loops (D, anti-codon, and T loops).
Source: RNAcentral